ACCAGUUUAUUGUUAAAACUUCUCUCACGAAAAGCGGCAAUCGUUUAACCCUAGUAAAAAUUUUAAGAGUGUAGUGUGUGUCAUUGCAAUAAAAUUAUUAAUCAAAAUGUACACAAAUCCGUUCAGUCGUACGCACAGCCGAAUUCGUCAGGUCAUCGACAAAUUCUUCCAAGUGAAUCACGAAAAAGACCAGAAAAGUAUGAGCAGAUAUUCAUCCAAUAAUUCCAUGUGUUCCAACGAUAGCAGCUCUAAGAAAUUCAUGAAGAAUAACGCCAGGAUGAUUUGGUCAGUGAAAUGAGUAUAAAGUACUGUUGCUGCUCUAUGAUAUUUGAUCUAUGUUGAGAAAUGGAGUUCAUGGGUUAAAAAAAUAUCUGAAAUUUCCUUAUGGUGCUCAGAUUGGAAUUCAAACCUCUUAAGUGGAGGAACUUGGAUUGGCUUGUGUUGGAAUAGUUAUGAAAAUUAUAUGUAUAUAAAACACAAUUAUAUAUUAAAAGAUAUGUAUUAUGA
This is a long non-coding RNA of Sitophilus oryzae (rice weevil), 507 nucleotides long. RefSeq lists it as uncharacterized. NCBI's taxonomy places the organism in Eukaryota, Metazoa, Arthropoda, Insecta, Coleoptera, Curculionidae. The transcript has 2 exons. The record is from RefSeq and is a predicted model, not a curated record.